GAUGAACGCUGGCGGCGUGCCUAAUACAUGCAAGUCGAGCGAACAGAUGAGGAGCUUGCUCCUCUGACGUUAGCGGCGGACGGGUGAGUAACACGUCGAUAACCUACCUAUUAGACUGGGAUAACUUCGGGAAACCGGAGCUAAUACCGGAUAAUCUAUUGAACCGCAUGGUUCAAUAGUGAAGGACGGUUUUGCUGUCACUUACAGAUGGAUCCGCGCCGCAUUAGCUAGUUGGUAAGGUAACGGCCUACCAAGGCAACGAUGCGUAGCCGACCUGAGAGGGUGAUCGGCCACACUGGAACUGAGACACGGUCCAGACUCCUACGGGAGGCAGCAGUAGGGAAUCUUCCGCAAAGGGCGAAAGCCUGACGGAGCAACGCCGCGUGAGUGAUGAAGGUCUUCGGAUCGUAAAACUCUGUUAUUGGGGAAGAACAAAUGUGUAAGUAACUAUGCACGUCUUGACGGUACCUAAUCAGAAAGCCACGGCUAACUACGUG
This 497-nucleotide ribosomal RNA is filed under the name uncultured bacterium. RNAcentral describes it as "partial 16S ribosomal RNA". It matches the Rfam family "Bacterial small subunit ribosomal RNA", at positions 28 to 507 of the family's 1533-position model. The record is from RNAcentral.